AUUGAACGCUGGCGGCAGGCCUAACACAUGCAAGUCGAACGGUAACAGGAAGAUGCUUGCUUCAUUGAUGACGAGUGGCGGACGGGAGGGUUAUGUCUGUGAAACGUCCUGAGGGAGGGGGAUAGCUACUGGAAACGGUAGCUACUACCGCAUAAUGUCGGAAAGCCAAGGAGGGGGACCUUCGGGCCUCUCACCAUCGGCUAGGCCCAGAUGGGUAUAGCUAGUAGGUGGGGUAACGGCUCACCUAGGCGACGAUCCGUAGCUGGUCUGAGAGGAUGAUCAGUCACACUGGAACUGAGACACGGUCCAGACUCCUACGGGAGGCAGCAGUGGGGAAUAUUGGACAAUGGGCGAAAGCCUGAUGCAGCUAUGCCGCGUGUAUGAAGAAGGUCUUCGGGUUGUAAAGUACUUUAAGCUGGGAGGAAGGGAGUUAAGUUAAUACCUUGCUUUAUUGACGUUACCAGCAGAAGAAGCACCGGCUAACUCCGUG
RNAcentral lists this ribosomal RNA (490 nucleotides) under uncultured bacterium. RNAcentral's name for it is "partial 16S ribosomal RNA". It matches the Rfam family "Bacterial small subunit ribosomal RNA", at positions 30 to 507 of the family's 1533-position model. The record is from RNAcentral.